RNAcentral lists this ribosomal RNA (253 nucleotides) under uncultured bacterium. RNAcentral describes it as "partial 16S ribosomal RNA". It matches the Rfam family "Bacterial small subunit ribosomal RNA", at positions 524 to 776 of the family's 1533-position model. The record is from RNAcentral.
UACGUAGGUGACAAGCGUUGUCCGGAUUUACUGGGCGUAAAGAGCGCGCAGGCGGUCGAUCAAGUCGAGUGUGAAAGCCCCCGGCUCAACUGGGGAGGGUCAUUCGAUACUGAUCGACUCGAAGGCAGGAGAGGGUAGUGGAAUUCCCGGUGUAGUGGUGAAAUGCGUAGAUAUCGGGAGGAACACCAGUGGCGAAGGCGACUUCCUGGCCUGUUCUUGACGCUGAGGCGCGAAAGCUAGGGGAGCAAACGGG